ACACAGGAAUCCAGACACACACACACACACAUUCACUCACUGCUCUUUCUUUCUGCUUGGCAGGAAGAGUCUCCUCUGAACCAGACAACAGCUUGCACUUCUCUGCUUUUCCUCUGCUGGCAGGUGUUAGAAAUAAAGCCAUAAAUAAGUGGACUUAAAGACAACACUACAGAGAGAGAGAGAGGACAAAUGUCUUGCACAAGUGAGCAAGGGAUAUGAGGGGAAAAAGGAGAAGAAACCUGCAUUUUUAGCGUUGGUGUCUGAGUGAAUGUGUUGUUGAGGGGAAACCAAAAGUAACCGGGAGGAACGCAAGGCAGUCAUGGACAUUAUAACACCUCAGACUCGAGACUGGACGACUUGGAUUUGCACACCGGAGUUGGACCCCAUCCAGCCCACUGUCCACUGAUACAAAUGAGUACCCAUGUGCCAUCUGAGACAUGCUUCCUGGCUAUGGAAUCUCUCCUCUUCUUGAUUUCCAGCCUC
This is a non-coding RNA of Danio rerio (zebrafish), 483 nucleotides long. Lineage: Eukaryota; Metazoa; Chordata; Actinopteri; Cypriniformes; Danionidae. The record is from Ensembl.